RNAcentral lists this ribosomal RNA (431 nucleotides) under uncultured bacterium. Its description in RNAcentral is "partial 16S ribosomal RNA". It matches the Rfam family "Bacterial small subunit ribosomal RNA", at positions 29 to 507 of the family's 1533-position model. The record is from RNAcentral.
AGCGAACGCUGGCGGCAGGCUUAACACAUGCAAGUCGAGCGCCCCGCAAGGGGAGCGGCCGACGGGAGAGUAACACGUGGGAACAUACCUUUUGGUUCGGAACAACUGAGGGAAACUUCAGCUAAUACCGGAUAAGCCCUUACGGGGAAAGAUUUAUCGCCGAAAGAUUGGCCCGCGUCUGAUUAGCUAGUUGGUGAGGUAACGGCUCACCAAGGCGACGAUCAGUAGCUGGUCUGAGAGGAUGACCAGCCUCACUGGGACUGAGACACGGCCCAGACUCCUACGGGAGGCAGCAGUGGGGAAUAUUGGACAAUGGGGGCAACCCUGAUCCAGCCAUGCCGCGUGAGUGAUGAAGGCCUUAGGGUUGUAAAGCUCUUUUGCCCGGGAAGAUAAUGACGGUACCGGGAGAAUAAGCCCCGGCUAACUUCGUG